AUGAAGCAAAAGAUUGUCAUCCAAUUGAGCAUGUCGUGCGACAAGAGCCGGUCCAAAGCACUAACGCUGGCCGCCAGAGCAGCCGGGGUGACGUCCAUGGGCAUAACCGGCGACGCGAGGGACCAGCUGGAGGUGGUCGGCGACGGCGUCGACCCGGUGUGCCUCGUCAGCUGCCUCCGCAAGAAGCUCGGACACGCCCAAAUCAUCAAGGUGGAGGAGGUGAAGAAGCCGGAUGAAAAGAAGAAGGAUGACCCGAAGCCGGCCGUGCCCGUGCCCGUGAACCCGCCGCCGUGCUACUACCCGCCCAGCUACUACCACCACCAGUACCAGGCGCCGCACAUGGUAGUCUGCGAGGAACAGCCCGGGAACUGCCGGACCAUGUAG
RNAcentral lists this ribosomal RNA (384 nucleotides) under Triticum aestivum (bread wheat). RNAcentral describes it as "partial small subunit ribosomal RNA". Lineage: Eukaryota; Viridiplantae; Streptophyta; Magnoliopsida; Poales; Poaceae. The record is from RNAcentral.